RNAcentral lists this ribosomal RNA (899 nucleotides) under uncultured bacterium. RNAcentral describes it as "bacterial SSU rRNA". It matches the Rfam family "Bacterial small subunit ribosomal RNA", at positions 33 to 915 of the family's 1533-position model. The record is from RNAcentral.
ACGCUGGCGGCGUGCCUAAUACAUGCAAGUAGAACGCUGAAGGAGGAGCUUGCUUCUCCGGAUGAGUUGCGAACGGGUGAGUAACGCGUAGGUAACCUGCCUGGUAGCGGGGGAUAACUAUUGGAAACGAUAGCUAAUACCGCAUAAGAGUAGAUGUCGCAUGACAUUUGCUUAAAAGGUGCAAUUGCAUCACUACCAGAUGGACCUGCGUUGUAUUAGCUAGUUGGUGGGGUAACGGCUCACCAAGGCGACGAUACAUAGCCGACCUGAGAGGGUGAUCGGCCACACUGGGACUGAGACACGGCCCAGACUCCUACGGGAGGCAGCAGUAGGGAAUCUUCGGCAAUGGACGGAAGUCUGACCGAGCAACGCCGCGUGAGUGAAGAAGGUUUUCGGAUCGUAAAGCUCUGUUGUAAGAGAAGAACGAGUGUGAGAGUGGAAAGUUCACACUGUGACGGUAUCUUACCAGAAAGGGACGGCUAGCUACGUGCCAGCAGCCGCGGUAAUACGUAGGUCCCGAGCGUUGUCCGGAUUUAUUGGGCGUAAAGCGAGCGCAGGCGGUUAGAUAAGUCUGAAGUUAAAGGCUGUGGCUUAACCAUAGUACGCUUUGGAAACUGUUUAACUUGAGUGCAAGAGGGGAGAGUGGAAUUCCAUGUGUAGCGGUGAAAUGCGUAGAUAUAUGGAGGAACACCGGUGGCGAAAGCGGCUCUCUGGCUUGUAACUGACGCUGAGGCUCGAAAGCGUGGGGAGCAAACAGGAUUAGAUACCCCUGGUAGUCCACGCCGUAAACGAUGAGUGCUAGGUGUUAGACCCUUUCCGGGGUUUAGUGCCGCAGCUAACGCAUUAAGCACUCCGCCUGGGGAGUACGACCGCAAGGUUGAAACUCAAAGGAAUUGACG